Molecule: ribosomal RNA, 700 nt
Filed under: uncultured Streptomyces sp.
Lineage: Bacteria; Bacillati; Actinomycetota; Actinomycetes; Kitasatosporales; Streptomycetaceae
Description: bacterial SSU rRNA
Rfam family: Bacterial small subunit ribosomal RNA
Source: RNAcentral
CCUUCGGGUUGUAAACCUCUUUCAGCAGGGAAGAAGCGCAAGUGACGGUACCUGCAGAAGAAGCGCCGGCUAACUACGUGCCAGCAGCCGCGGUAAUACGUAGGGCGCAAGCGUUGUCCGGAAUUAUUGGGCGUAAAGAGCUCGUAGGCGGUUUGUCGCGUCUGCUGUGAAAUCCUCAGGCUCAACCUGGGGCUUGCAGUGGGUACGGGCAGACUAGAGUGCGGUAGGGGUGACUGGAAUUCCUGGUGUAGCGGUGGAAUGCGCAGAUAUCAGGAGGAACACCGAUGGCGAAGGCAGGUCACUGGGCCGCAACUGACGCUGAGGAGCGAAAGCAUGGGGAGCGAACAGGAUUAGAUACCCUGGUAGUCCAUGCCGUAAACGUUGGGCACUAGGUGUGGGGCUCAUUCCACGAGUUCCGUGCCGCAGCAAACGCAUUAAGUGCCCCGCCUGGGGAGUACGGCCGCAAGGCUAAAACUCAAAGAAAUUGACGGGGGCCCGCACAAGCGGCGGAGCAUGCGGAUUAAUUCGAUGCAACGCGAAGAACCUUACCAAGGCUUGACAUGCACCGGUAACACUCAGAGAUGGGUGCCCCGCAAGGUCGGUGUACAGGUGGUGCAUGGUUGUCGUCAGCUCGUGUCGUGAGAUGUUGGGUUAAGUCCCGCAACGAGCGCAACCCUCGUCCCAUGUUGCCAGCGGGUUA